Molecule: ribosomal RNA, 253 nt
Filed under: uncultured bacterium
Lineage: Bacteria
Description: partial 16S ribosomal RNA
Rfam family: Bacterial small subunit ribosomal RNA
Source: RNAcentral
UACGGAGGGUGCAAACGUUGCUCGGAAUCAUUGGGCGUAAAGCGCACGUAGGCGGUCUUUUAAGUCGGGUGUGAAAGCCCUCAGCUUAACUGAGGAAGUGCAUUCGAAACUAGAGGACUUGAAUACUCAAGAGGGUCUCGGAAUUCCCGGUGUAGAGGUGAAAUUCGUAGAUAUCGGGAGGAACACCAGUGGCGAAGGCGGAGACCUGGGGAGAUAUUGACGCUGAGGUGCGAAAGCGUGGGGAGCAAACAGG